Molecule: unclassified non-coding RNA, 251 nt
Filed under: uncultured fungus
Lineage: Eukaryota; Fungi
Description: partial contains 5.8S ribosomal RNA, internal transcribed spacer 2, and large subunit ribosomal RNA
Source: RNAcentral
AACGCACAUUGCGCCCCUUGGUAUUCCGGGGGGCAUGCCUGUUCGAGCGUCAUAACAACCCUCAAGCCUGGCUUGGUAUUGGAUGGUCGCGACCCCCCCGGGGGCCGCGCGUCCCGAUGUCUCCGGCCGAGCCGUCCGUCUCCGAGCGUUGUGAUCUAACGAUUCGCUUGGGAGCCCGGGCGGCGCGAUGCCGUCAAACCCUCUUCUAUCAGGUUGACCUCGGAUCAGGUAGGGAUACCCGCUGAACUUAA